RNAcentral lists this ribosomal RNA (482 nucleotides) under uncultured bacterium. RNAcentral describes it as "partial 16S ribosomal RNA". It matches the Rfam family "Bacterial small subunit ribosomal RNA", at positions 30 to 507 of the family's 1533-position model. The record is from RNAcentral.
AUUGAACGCUGGCGGCAUGCCUUACACAUGCAAGUCGAACGGUAACGGGCCUUCGGGUGCCGACGAGUGGCGAACGGGUGAGUAAUACAUCGGAACGUGCCCGAUCGUGGGGGAUAACGAGGCGAAAGCUUUGCUAAUACCGCAUACGAUCUACGGAUGAAAGCAGGGGACCGCAAGGCCUAGCGCGGACGGAGCGGCCGAUGGCAGAUUAGGUAGUUGGUGGGAUAAAAGCUUACCAAGCCGACGAUCUGUAGCUGGUCUGAGAGGAUGAUCAGCCACACUGGGACUGAGACACGGCCCAGACUCCUACGGGAGGCAGCAGUGGGGAAUUUUGGACAAUGGGCGCAAGCCUGAUCCAGCCAUGCCGCGUGCAGGAUGAAGGCCUUCGGGUUGUAAACUGCUUUUGUACGGAACGAAAAGCCUUCUUUUAAUACAGGAGGGUCAUGACGGUACCGUAAGAAUAAGCACCGGCUAACUACGUG